Molecule: ribosomal RNA, 105 nt
Organism: Erinaceus europaeus (western European hedgehog)
Lineage: Eukaryota; Metazoa; Chordata; Mammalia; Eulipotyphla; Erinaceidae
Source: Ensembl
GUCUACGGCCAUACCACCCUGAACACGCCCGAUCUCGUCUGAUCUUGGGAGCUAAGCAGGGUCGGGUCUGGUUAGUACUUGGAUGGGAGAAAAGAAAUGCUCACC